Pelodiscus sinensis (Chinese soft-shelled turtle) is the source of this 993-nucleotide non-coding RNA. NCBI's taxonomy places the organism in Eukaryota, Metazoa, Chordata, Testudines, Trionychidae. The record is from RefSeq and is a predicted model, not a curated record.
CCUCCUCAUCUGGGCUGUAAUAAUGAGGAUCUCUGGCAGGCACCUGGCUCUGAAAGGAGCUGCUUCUGACUUACACCUGCAGUGCUUAAUGCUUUAUCCAAAGAGCAUGUCAUGCCACUGGACUCCACAGGAUGGUGCUGCAUCCAAUACAACAUUCCAUCUCAGAUACAAGAUGAGGGGAGCAACUGAAGCUGAAGAAUGCAAAGACUAUGUCACCAGUGGCCCCAACUCCUGCUAUUUCAGCCGCACCAACCUGUGCCUGUACUUGACCUAUGAAAUCUGGGUGGAAACUGGAAACGGGACAUCAGAGAAGCUGAUUGUUAACACUGAAGACAUUGGCAAAUACCGAAAUACAGCUGAGGCACUCCUGUGUGCUAGUUCAGUCCCCUACCUCUGAGAAAUGCGCUGCACAGACAGGCCCAUGGCCAGAGCUGUUUCUUCCUCAAUUUUUUGUCUGGACAGAAUGUUAAUCCCCAAGCAGAGGCCAAAACUGAACCACCAGAGGGCCUAAAGGCCAUUGGAUUUGGCACCCAUCUCUCCGUAGAAUGGAGGUACCCACCAGGUUUGGCAGCCUCAUAUUUUCCACUGGUGUUUGAGCUUCAGUACCAAGAACAGGGAUGUGGCAAAUGGAAGCAAGAGCCUGAUGUGGGUGAACAGACCAGCUACUAUAUAUAUGAUGUGAAGCCAGAAACUGGGUACAUUCUGAUGGUUCGCUGCAAGAACUCAGAGGGAAAAGGCUUUUGGAGUGACUGGAGCACCCCAAUUAUAGUCAGUUCUGCCCAAGCCACAGCAAAACCAGUGCACUCUGGUACUGAGUGAAGUACCUGUAGAAGAUACACCACUCAAGGCAAUAGUUCACCUAGCUCAGCAUGUUGCCUUUGGCUGUGUCCUACACCCAGUGCUUUAUUAACAGCAUCUAGACCGGGUAUGUGGGUAUUGGGUCCCAAGGGCAGGAAAGUCUAAAUUAAUUUUGUGAAAGUGCUUUUUAUUAAA